Molecule: ribosomal RNA, 465 nt
Filed under: uncultured bacterium
Lineage: Bacteria
Description: partial 16S ribosomal RNA
Rfam family: Bacterial small subunit ribosomal RNA
Source: RNAcentral
CCUACGGGAGGCUGCAGUAGGGAAUCUUCCACAAUGGACGAAAGUCUGAUGGAGCAACGCCGCGUGAGUGAUGAAGGGUUUCGGCUCGUAAACCUCUGUUGGCAGGGAAGAAAGAUAGCUGUAGUAACCGGCCUUUAUUUGACGGUACUUACUUAGAAAGUACCGGCUAACUACGUGCCAGCAGCCGCGGUAAUACGUAGGUGGCAAGCGUUGACCGGAUUUAUUGGGCGUAAAGCGAGUGCAGGCGGUUCAGGAAGUCUGAUGUGAAAGCCUGCGGCUCAACCGGGGAAGUGCAUCAGAAACUGUUGAACUUGAGUGCGGGAGAGGAGAGUGGAACUCCAUGUGUAGCGGUGAAAUGCGUAGAUAUAUGGAAGAACACCAGUGGCGAAGGCGGCUCUCUGGUCUGCAACUGACGCUGAGGCUCGAAAGCGUGGGUAGCGAACAGGAUUAGAUACCCUUGUAGUC